GUCAAAGGCGCGUGCGAGGAUGCCGACAGGCUGCGGCACGGGCGCACCGACGGUGGGCGCCUCGACGGGCGGCGGCGUGUCCAAAAUGGGCAGGGCGAAAAACUGGGUGCCAGCGGCCGCGAUGGCCCCCACGUCGUCGACAAAGAGGUUCUCUGAAAGGCCGGCUUCGCGCAACAGCCCCUCUUCAAAUAGGGUGCCAGCGAUAAAAUCGAUCAAAUCGUCGGGUUGGCGAAAGGCCCGGUUGCGCGCCGUGGUGGCCAAAAGCGACGUCACGGCCGCAGAGGCGCCGGUCGCACCGCGCCGCCGACCUGCGGUGGCGAGCGCAGCCCUAAACGGACCCGACAGGCGCCGCGCGGGCUCCUUGGACGCGAUCUCGGCAUAGAGGGCGUGCAGGCCCAAAAGGCCCCACCGACGCACGCUGGCAGGUGCACGGUCUUCAUAGGCCACCGUGGCCAAGAGCACGGCGAGGUCGCGCGCAUAGGCGUUGAGGUAGGGGUGAAAGAUGGCGUGGCGCGGUGCCUGGUCGGCGCCCACCAGAGACGCCAGGGACUCUACAGAGGGCGCGACGGGUGCGGCUGCCGCGCCCUGGCCGCCGGGUGCGGCGCCAUACAUGCCUGCGACAUCGUCGUGGCCAGCGACGUCGAUGCCCAGAGCGCGCAGCCGAUCGCUGCUGGCCAGGGCAAAGUCGGUGGCGCGCGCCAGCCAGCAUCGGGUGCGCACGGCAAAGCGGCGCCACCCGUGGGCGCGCGACUGGAGCGCGUAGCGAAAGACCGGCUCAGCGUCGCACGUGAGGUCGCCGCGUGCACACGGUGGUUCAUAGGCUCCUCCCGCAGACAUCGCUGCUGUAUCGGUGCCAGGCGACGCCAAAAUGCGCGAUAGCAAUAUGUUGCGCCCAUAGAGGUCGUUAUUGGCGAGAUCAUAGACCCGUGCCGCCCACGAGAGGCCGGCGCACACCUGAAAGGCGACGCUCAUCCACUCGGCCUCGGAGCGACGGACGCCCGCUGCCCACGCCGCCAGAUCGCAGUCGGCCACCUCUUGAAAGAGGUCGACCGCGCCGCCUCCCACUCUAUAGGUGCGGCCGCCAAGCGUGCUCACCGGCGGCGGAUAGCGCGCCGCAGCACCAUAGGCGCAGGGGAGAUUGGGACAGGCACGCGUCUUGACCAGCGCCGACAGCAUGCCCGUGAGGACCACCUCACGCACGGCCACAUCGGGCGAGUCGUUGGGGGCCACGGUGGUUACCUUGAUGGCCAGGGGCAGUUGUGGCGGCGAUGAUGUGUCCUCGGUCGCGCGGCGGUUCCCAGAGCCAGUCGACGUUGCCGCAGCGAGAUCCGGCGGCGGGCGCCGAAAGCCGGCUGCGCACACGGACCCGUAGGCGCCGCUGCCGAGAGCGCGCACCAGAUACAGGCCGGUGUCGAGGCGCAUCGGGUCGGUGGCCGGCAUGGCGCCCGGCACGGUGGGUAACUCGUAGACGAGGCCGGCCAGCGCGCGGCCCAUGGCCCCGGCGACCCGCGCGCGUUCCUCGAUCGCGGCCUCGACCAGGCUGAGCGCCGCCGCGGCGCUGGCCGUGCCGGCCUCGCCCGUCUCGCCGCGCGGCAGCGGUCUCAGACCGCACGCCGACGGCGCCUGCGUACCGGCUAGCAGCGAGGAUAGUUUGCUCGAUGUUGCGGUUGUUCCCGCAGAUUGCAUCAUGGGUGCCUAUUGUUUGACACUCGGAUCGACUGUUGUCUUUCUUUUGCCUUUUUGGCGUCGUCGGUCCCGUUGGCGCCGACCAACCGAUCGUGUGAUACGGUCACAAACAGGGCUGUCGCUUUCCCAAG
Molecule: long non-coding RNA, 1817 nt
Filed under: Pandoravirus quercus
Description: hypothetical ncRNA
Source: RNAcentral